AUUGAAUCAUAUGAAUCUAAGAAGCCGCGCCCUUCCCCCUUUGGGCGUUGCUUUAUUAACUGAAUUGCUGUGUGUAGUCUUUGCCUGUCAGCCCAUGAUAGGCUUUUUUUUUA
This 113-nucleotide small RNA is filed under the name Providencia alcalifaciens. RNAcentral describes it as "RprA RNA". Lineage: Bacteria; Pseudomonadati; Pseudomonadota; Gammaproteobacteria; Enterobacterales; Morganellaceae. The record is from RNAcentral.